Columba livia (rock pigeon) is the source of this 909-nucleotide long non-coding RNA. RefSeq lists it as uncharacterized. The record is from RefSeq and is a predicted model, not a curated record. The transcript has 7 exons. Lineage: Eukaryota; Metazoa; Chordata; Aves; Columbiformes; Columbidae.
GGAGGGAACGUGCGCAGGUUCGGCUGGAGCUGUAAGCAACUGAAGAGUUUUCUCCUCUUUUGGGCUUCUCAUCAAAAGCAAAACUACAUGUGAACCUUCAGAGAAAACUCUCUCUGAUUGUAUCUGCAAACGUCCUGUACCAGAUGGGAAGCCCACAACAAGAAGCGAAGAGCCAUUUUCCUGCAUACCCUGUACAUUAUCUGCCUCUUGAGCAGAACUGAAAAGAAUAGGAACUCCAGGACAAGGACAUCUGAAAAAAGGUCAGUGGCAGCAACUCCAGGAGAUGGUCUGGAUUCCUCCACUGAGAACAGCAAAGGAAAGGAAGGACAAUAGCAGUUUUGUUUUUCUCAGAUCUGUACUAGCUUUUAAAAUGAAGAACUAGUAGCCCAGAGGCAGGCAGUCUCGCAGUGGACUUAGUUACACUUGAAAAACAUGUGCCAAGUUCCAUACAGGCGAAACAGAAGAAACGAAGAUUACCUUCAGCUGCCCCGACAGCACUGCUUGCCAGGACAGAAUGCAGCAGCGAUGCCACUCGUGCUCCUCAUCUACCUUCCAAGGAGCUUGCUGUAAAGAGAAAUCUGAAGAAGCUGUCUGGCCUGUGAAAACACCUCAGGGGAUCUUGUUCUUCUGCGGAGGAGUGUGAUUGAUGUACUACUUAGAAUGAACAUACUGGACUUGGUAAUGAUUGCUUUAGAAGUCAGGUUAUCUGCAGGUACGCACCAGAUGACACUCACUGCAUUACGCACCGGCAAUGUACACAGCAACGUGGCAAUACAAUGAGCUAGAAUCAAACUCCACCAUGCUAUUGUUUGGACUAAUCAAUGCAUAUCUUCCAGGUCAUGCAGCUGACAUGCUGUGGUGCCUUUUCCAUCGCCUCUGGUGCCAUCAUCUUUGCUCCCUGAAAGAAGG